UAACAUCAAAAUCUCCCUUUUCCGCUUCUCCAUCACCAAAAAUAUCAACCUCUUCCUUUUCUCUAUCACCAUGAAGAAAUGCUGAGUCAUCAAGAAGGUCAGUCUCCUCCUUAACAUCAAAAUCUCUCGUCUCUCCUUUUUGAUUCAGCAAUACCCUAUCACUGCCAUUGCUCCAAGAAUUCUUGGGUAAUGAUUUUGGCCUUUCUAUUUGCUCUUCUAACAAUUUAUCCAAUUUUUUCCAUCUUUGAUACGGCAACUCCUCUAAGCGUAUUGUUACUCUUCUUUCAAAAAUUUCUAGCAUUCCCUUGAGAUCCCUUUGUUCCCAAAAUUGUACGUCCA
Molecule: unclassified non-coding RNA, 339 nt
Filed under: Hevea brasiliensis (rubber tree)
Lineage: Eukaryota; Viridiplantae; Streptophyta; Magnoliopsida; Malpighiales; Euphorbiaceae
Source: RNAcentral